GGUUCCAUAGCGCAGCGGUCAGCACGUCUGCUUUACACGCAGACGGUCCUGGGUUCGCGCCCCAGUGGAGCCA
This is a non-coding RNA of Pteropus alecto (black flying fox), 73 nucleotides long. Lineage: Eukaryota; Metazoa; Chordata; Mammalia; Chiroptera; Pteropodidae. The record is from Rfam.